AGUUCGGACUGCAGGCUGCAACCCGCCUGCACGAAGCCGGAGUUGCUAGUAAUCGCGAAUCAGAAUGUCGCGGUGAAUGCGUUCCCGGGUCUUGUACACACCGCCCGUCACACCAUGGAAGUUGGGGGGCGCCCAAAGCCGGCAAGCAAAUAUGCUGUCUAAGGCAAAACCAAUGACUGGGGUGAAGUCGUAACAAGGUACC
RNAcentral lists this ribosomal RNA (202 nucleotides) under uncultured bacterium. RNAcentral describes it as "partial 16S ribosomal RNA". It matches the Rfam family "Bacterial small subunit ribosomal RNA", at positions 1290 to 1500 of the family's 1533-position model. The record is from RNAcentral.